This 265-nucleotide ribosomal RNA is filed under the name uncultured bacterium. RNAcentral's name for it is "partial 16S ribosomal RNA". It matches the Rfam family "Bacterial small subunit ribosomal RNA", at positions 793 to 1055 of the family's 1533-position model. The record is from RNAcentral.
GUCCACGCCCUAAACGAUGUCAACUAGGUGUUGGGAGCGCAAGUUCUCAGUACCGCAGCUAACGCGUGAAGUUGACCGCCUGGGGAGUACGGUCGCAAGAUUAAAACUCAAAGGAAUUGACGGGGACCCCGCACAAGCGGUGGAUGAUGUGGAUUAAUUCGAUGCAACGCGAACAACCUUACCUACCCUUGACAUGUCUGGAAGGCUGCUGAAAGGCGGCUGUGCCCGAAAGGGAACCGGAACACAGGUGCUGCAUGGCUGUCGU